This 488-nucleotide ribosomal RNA is filed under the name Acinetobacter haemolyticus. RNAcentral describes it as "bacterial SSU rRNA". It matches the Rfam family "Bacterial small subunit ribosomal RNA", at positions 125 to 607 of the family's 1533-position model. The record is from RNAcentral. Lineage: Bacteria; Pseudomonadati; Pseudomonadota; Gammaproteobacteria; Moraxellales; Moraxellaceae.
UCUGCCUAUUAGUGGGGGACAACAUUCCGAAAGGAAUGCUAAUACCGCAUACGUCCUACGGGAGAAAGCAGGGGAUCUUCGGACCUUGCGCUAAUAGAUGAGCCUAAGUCGGAUUACCUAGUUGGUGGGGUAAAGGCCUACCAAGGCGACGAUCUGUAGCGGGUCUGAGAGGAUGAUCCGCCACACUGGGACUGAGACACGGCCCAGACUCCUACGGGAGGCAGCAGUGGGGAAUAUUGGACAAUGGGCGGAAGCCUGAUCCAGCCAUGCCGCGUGUGUGAAGAAGGCCUUUUGGUUGUAAAGCACUUUAAGCGAGGAGGAGGCUACUCUAGUUAAUACCUAGAGAUAGUGGACGUUACUCCCAGAAUAAGCACCGGCUAACUCUGUGCCAGCAGCCGCGGUAAUACAGAGGGUGCGAGCGUUAAUCGGAUUUACUGGGCGUAAAGCGUGCGUAGGCGGCUGAUUAAGUCGGAUGUGAAAUCCCUGAG